AUGAUAUUCGGCCAUGGGUGUUGCCUUUUUGGUUGGUGUUUGAUGUUGUGGUGAUGAGGCAUGAAGAUGAGCUAAGUUUCGGCUAAGGUGGACUUGUGUUGAUGUCAUUUGCAUGCUAAGUGUGAAGCUUUGUAAUGAUACAUGUGAUGGUGAUUGAUGACUCUUGGAUUUUCUUUUUAGCAUUUUUGAGUUAGACAUUAAGUUCUUUGUUUAACCCAUGACCAAAAUUGAAAUGGUAUGGUGUCUUGAUGCAUUCGGCCAUGGUAGGAAGUAGAUGAGAAUUGG
This 285-nucleotide long non-coding RNA is filed under the name Gossypium barbadense (sea-island cotton). RNAcentral describes it as "long non-coding RNA (GBAR_LNC002167)". Lineage: Eukaryota; Viridiplantae; Streptophyta; Magnoliopsida; Malvales; Malvaceae. The record is from RNAcentral.